This 124-nucleotide transfer RNA is filed under the name Cronartium quercuum f. sp. fusiforme G11. It matches the Rfam family "tRNA". From Rfam's summary of the family: Transfer RNA (tRNA) molecules are approximately 80 nucleotides in length. Their secondary structure includes four short double-helical elements and three loops (D, anti-codon, and T loops). Lineage: Eukaryota; Fungi; Basidiomycota; Pucciniomycetes; Pucciniales; Coleosporiaceae. The record is from Rfam by way of RNAcentral.
UCUCCCAUAGCUUAGUUGGUAGAGCGUAAUGCUUAUAUUCUGACAUUCUCCGGAAGUCAAUAUGCUUGGUAGCACAAUCUCGCAAGAGACGUUAAUGUCACGGGUUCGAGUCCCGUUGGGAGAA